RNAcentral lists this ribosomal RNA (252 nucleotides) under uncultured Gardnerella sp. RNAcentral's name for it is "partial 16S ribosomal RNA". It matches the Rfam family "Bacterial small subunit ribosomal RNA", at positions 103 to 355 of the family's 1533-position model. The record is from RNAcentral. Lineage: Bacteria; Bacillati; Actinomycetota; Actinomycetes; Bifidobacteriales; Bifidobacteriaceae.
CGGGUGAGUAAUGCGUGACCAACCUGCCCCAUGCUCCAGAAUAGCUCUUGGAAACGGGUGGUAAUGCUGGAUGCUCCAACUUGACGCAUGUCUUGUUGGGAAAGUGUUUAGUGGCAUGGGAUGGGGUCGCGUCCUAUCAGCUUGUAGGCGGGGUAAUGGCCCACCUAGGCUUCGACGGGUAGCAGGCCUGAGAGGGCGGACGGCCACAUUGGGACUGAGAUACGGCCCAGACUCCUACGGGAGGCAGCAGCA